This is a non-coding RNA of Cricetulus griseus (Chinese hamster), 318 nucleotides long. Lineage: Eukaryota; Metazoa; Chordata; Mammalia; Rodentia; Cricetidae. The record is from Rfam.
GGAAGGGGGGAUCUGGCUGUGUUAUCUGUCAUCUCUCUGGUGGCUAGGGUUGAUCUGGCUGACUGGGCUGGCUAGACAGGCAUCCUCUUCCUCAUUGUUUCAUGUGUGUCCCUCCUGUAGCUACAUGCACGGUGGUAGAAGACAACCUUCCCCAAAUAGAGGAGCACCAGUGUUGGGGCAAAAGAUGUAAGAGUACAUGCGCUUUCUGGCUAGAACCCCCAAAUAACCUCUCAAGCUCCAGGGAAGGGGGAGGUGUCUAAAAACACAAGCAGGAUGGAAAGCUCCACUAACAGUGCCAUCACUGAAAAGGUCCAUGGU